GGGUAUGGUGGCUUGUGCCUGCAAUCCUAGCACUUGGGAGGCUGAAAACAGAGGAGCACCAUGAGUCCGAGCUGCAUAGUGAGACCCUGUACCAAACACAUAAA
Molecule: long non-coding RNA, 104 nt
Organism: Octodon degus (degu)
Lineage: Eukaryota; Metazoa; Chordata; Mammalia; Rodentia; Octodontidae
Exons: 3
Source: RefSeq, a predicted model, not a curated record